CAGGGCUAACACAUGCAAGUCGAGCGCACUCUUCGGAGUGAGCGGCGGACGGGUUAGUAACGCGUGGGAACGUGCCCUUCUCUAAGGAAUAGCCACUGGAAACGGUGAGUAAUACCUUAUACGCCCUUCGGGGGAAAGAUUUAUCGGAGAAGGAUCGGCCCGCGUUAGAUUAGAUAGUUGGUGGGUAACGGCCUACCAAGUCUACGAUCUAUAGCUGGUUUUAGAGGAUGAUCAGCAACACUGGGACUGAGACACGGCCCAGACUCCUACGGGAGGCAGCAGUGGGGAAUCUUGGACAAUGGGCGCAAGCCUGAUCCAGCCAUGCCGCGUGAGUGAUGAAGGCCUUAGGGUCGUAAAGCUCUUUCGCCAGAGAUGAUAAUGACAGUAUCUGGUAAAGAAACCCCGGC
Molecule: ribosomal RNA, 407 nt
Filed under: uncultured Alphaproteobacteria bacterium
Lineage: Bacteria; Pseudomonadati; Pseudomonadota; Alphaproteobacteria
Description: bacterial SSU rRNA
Rfam family: Bacterial small subunit ribosomal RNA
Source: RNAcentral